Molecule: ribosomal RNA, 245 nt
Filed under: uncultured Dehalobacter sp.
Lineage: Bacteria; Bacillati; Bacillota; Clostridia; Eubacteriales; Desulfitobacteriaceae
Description: partial 16S ribosomal RNA
Rfam family: Bacterial small subunit ribosomal RNA
Source: RNAcentral
UACGUAGGGGGCAAGCGUUGUCCGGAAUCAUUGGGCGUAAAGGGCGCGUAGGCGGGCAUAUAAGUCUGAUGUGAAAGUGCGGAGCUUAACUCCGUAAAGCAUUGGAAACUGUGUGUCUUGAGGACAGGAGAGGAAAGUGGAAUUCCUAGUGUAGCGGUGAAAUGCGUAGAUAUUAGGAGGAACACCAGUGGCGAAGGCGACUUUCUGGACUGUAACUGACGCUGAGGCGCGAAAGCGUGGGGAGC